CCUACGGGAGGUAGCAGUAGGGAAUAUUGCUCAAUGGGCGAAACCCUGAAGCAGCAACGCCGCGUGAAGGAUGAAGGUUUUCGGGUUGUAAACUCCUUUUGUUAGAGAAGAUAAUGACGGUAUCUAACGAAUCAGCACCGGCUCACUCCGUGCCAGCAGCCGCGGUCAUACGGAGGGGGCAAGCGUUACUCGGAUUCACUGGGCGUAAAGGGCGCGUAGGCGGGAUAGCAAGUCAGAUGUGAAAUCCUAUGGCUUAACCAUAGAACUGCAUUUGAAACUGUUAUUCUAGAGUAUGGGAGAGGUAGGUGGAAUUCUUGGUGUAGGGGUAAAAUGCGUAGAGAUCAAGAGGAAUACUCAUUGCGAAGGCGACCUGCUAGAACAUAACUGACGCUGAUGCGCGAAAGCGUGGGGAGCAAACAGGAUUAGAUACCCUGGUAGUC
This 440-nucleotide ribosomal RNA is filed under the name uncultured bacterium. RNAcentral's name for it is "partial 16S ribosomal RNA". It matches the Rfam family "Bacterial small subunit ribosomal RNA", at positions 338 to 795 of the family's 1533-position model. The record is from RNAcentral.